This 1439-nucleotide ribosomal RNA is filed under the name uncultured organism. RNAcentral's name for it is "SSU rRNA". It matches the Rfam family "Bacterial small subunit ribosomal RNA". The record is from RNAcentral.
CAGGCUUAACACAUGCAAGUCGAGGGGCAGCGGGGGUAGCGAUACCCGCCGGCGACCGGCGCACGGGUGAGUAACGCGUAUGCAACUUGCCUAUCAGAGGGGGAUAACCCGGCGAAAGUCGGACUAAUACCGCAUGAAGCAGGGGCCCCGCAUGGGGAUAUUUGCUAAAGAUUCAUCGCUGAUAGAUAGGCAUGCGUUCCAUUAGGCAGUUGGCGGGGUAACGGCCCACCAAACCGACGAUGGAUAGGGGUUCUGAGAGGAAGGUCCCCCACAUUGGUACUGAGACACGGACCAAACUCCUACGGGAGGCAGCAGUGAGGAAUAUUGGUCAAUGGCCGAGAGGCUGAACCAGCCAAGUCGCGUGAGGGAUGAAGGUUCUAUGGAUCGUAAACCUCUUUUAUAAGGGAAUAAAGUGCGGGACGUGUCCCGUUUUGUAUGUACCUUAUGAAUAAGGAUCGGCUAACUCCGUGCCAGCAGCCGCGGUAAUACGGAGGAUCCGAGCGUUAUCCGGAUUUAUUGGGUUUAAAGGGUGCGUAGGCGGCCUUUUAAGUCAGCGGUGAAAGUCUGUGGCUCAACCAUAGAAUUGCCGUUGAAACUGGGGGGCUUGAGUAUGUUUGAGGCAGGCGGAAUGCGUGGUGUAGCGGUGAAAUGCAUAGAUAUCACGCAGAACCCCGAUUGCGAAGGCAGCCUGCCAAGCCAUUACUGACGCUGAUGCACGAAAGCGUGGGGAUCAAACAGGAUUAGAUACCCUGGUAGUCCACGCAGUAAACGAUGAUCACUAGCUGUUUGCGAUACACUGUAAGCGGCACAGCGAAAGCGUUAAGUGAUCCACCUGGGGAGUACGCCGGCAACGGUGAAACUCAAAGGAAUUGACGGGGGCCCGCACAAGCGGAGGAACAUGUGGUUUAAUUCGAUGAUACGCGAGGAACCUUACCCGGGUUUGAACGCAUUCGGACCGAGGUGGAAACACCUUUUCUAGCAAUAGCCGUUUGCGAGGUGCUGCAUGGUUGUCGUCAGCUCGUGCCGUGAGGUGUCGGCUUAAGUGCCAUAACGAGCGCAACCCUUGCCACUAGUUACUAACAGGUAAAGCUGAGGACUCUGGUGGGACUGCCAGCGUAAGCUGCGAGGAAGGCGGGGAUGACGUCAAAUCAGCACGGCCCUUACAUCCGGGGCGACACACGUGUUACAAUGGCGUGGACAAAGGGAGGCCACCUGGCGACAGGGAGCGAAUCCCCAAACCACGUCUCAGUUCGGAUCGGAGUCUGCAACCCGACUCCGUGAAGCUGGAUUCGCUAGUAAUCGCGCAUCAGCCAUGGCGCGGUGAAUACGUUCCCGGGCCUUGUACACACCGCCCGUCAAGCCAUGGGAGCCGGGGGUACCUGAAGUCCGUAACCGAAAGGAUCGGCCUAGGGUAAAACUGGUGACUGGGGCUAAGUCAU